This 159-nucleotide unclassified non-coding RNA is filed under the name uncultured Ascomycota. RNAcentral describes it as "sequence contains ITS1". Lineage: Eukaryota; Fungi; Ascomycota. The record is from RNAcentral.
CUGAGAAAAGAGGCCUCCGGGUCUCCCUCAUUAACACCCCGCCUUCCAACAAAGUCCCAUUAGGGACGUUAAAUUUUAUGUUGGGAGGGUCUGGAAAGACCCUCCGACCCUAUAAACUCUGAAUGUUUGUACAGUCCGAGUAUAUAUUCUAAUAUAUGA